Molecule: ribosomal RNA, 529 nt
Filed under: uncultured bacterium
Lineage: Bacteria
Description: bacterial SSU rRNA
Rfam family: Bacterial small subunit ribosomal RNA
Source: RNAcentral
AGGGUUUGAUCAUGGCUCAGAUUGAACGCUGGCGGCAGGCCUAACACAUGCAAGUCGAGCGGUAACAGAAAGUAGCUUGCUACUUUGCUGACGAGCGGCGGACGGGUGAGUAAUGCUUGGGAAUAUGCCUUUUGGUGGGGGACAACAGUUGGAAACGACUGCUAAUACCGCAUGAUGUCUACGGACCAAAGUGGGGGACCUUCGGGCCUCACGCCAAAAGAUUAGCCCAAGUGGGAUUAGCUAGUUGGUAAGGUAAUGGCUUACCAAGGCAACGAUCCCUAGCUGGUUUGAGAGGAUGAUCAGCCACACUGGGACUGAGACACGGCCCAGACUCCUACGGGAGGCAGCAGUGGGGAAUAUUGCACAAUGGGCGCAAGCCUGAUGCAGCCAUGCCGCGUGUGUGAAGAAGGCCUUCGGGUUGUAAAGCACUUUCAGUAAGGAGGAAAGGUUAAGUUUUAAUAGAGCUUAGCUGUGACGUUACUUACAGAAGAAGCACCGGCUAACUCCGUGCCAGCCGCCGCGGUAAUAC